GACGUAAGGCGCGAGCGUUGUCCGGAUUUAUUGGGCGUAAAGAGCUCGUAGGCGGCUUGUUGCGUCGACUGUGAAAACCCGCGGCUUAACUGCGGGCUUGCAGUUGAUACGGGCAGGCUAGAGUUCGGUAGGGGAGACUGGAAUUCCUGGUGUAGCGGUGAAAUGCGCAGAUAUCAGGAGGAACACCGGUGGCGAAGGCGGGUCUCUGGGCCGAUACUGACGCUGAGGAGCGAAAGCGUGGGGAGCGAACAGG
Molecule: ribosomal RNA, 253 nt
Filed under: uncultured bacterium
Lineage: Bacteria
Description: partial 16S ribosomal RNA
Rfam family: Bacterial small subunit ribosomal RNA
Source: RNAcentral